RNAcentral lists this long non-coding RNA (1206 nucleotides) under Pogona vitticeps (central bearded dragon). RNAcentral describes it as "lncRNA (ENSPVIG00000003836.1)". Lineage: Eukaryota; Metazoa; Chordata; Lepidosauria; Squamata; Agamidae. The record is from RNAcentral.
GGACUCCCUUUUUAAGCUUUUUACCAAGCUACUUUCAAGGGUCCCACUCCUGCCCUUGCAGCACCAGACUACUAGGUUCCCUAAGCUCAGAAAAUUCAAGUUUUCUUUGGUUUACUGAAAUCUUUUGGCUCACUGGAUUAUCUUUCAAAUCCCACUUCCGCUGCCAUCACUUGUGGUGAUCCCCCUUGUGCCCUUUAUAUCUUUGGGCUCCACAAACGUAAAUACGCCCUUUUCGCUGCCACCAGGUAUUCUCUUAAUACCAAUUCAAAUCCCACACACAUAUAGGAGCUGAUCAUAUAACUUAGGAAUCAGGGGUUUUCAAUUAAACAUUCUUUUAUUAAUGAACAAAUCAUCAGGAGAAUCAAAUAUAUAACUGUUUCAGGUGUUCAUGUAUAAUAAAUCAUGUAUUCAAUCACUGGUAUUUCUUAUAUUAUGCUUAUGAGUUCAUUCCUGCUUGCUCAAUAUGUUUUACUCUUUCAACUUCCUUUCUUAACCCCUUUUUAGCUAUUCCUAAAACCUAGCACUCUCUCCACAUCUUCUUGUCCCUACUUCUCUCUAUCCCUAUCUUAUUCCAACUCCCUUCUAGCUGUCUCUUCUAGCUGUCUAACUGCCAUCCUGACUCUGCCCCUCCUGCUCUAUCCCUUGAUUGACAUGCAGGAAUGACGUCAUCUUUUUGGGUUCCACUACAUAUAUGUAUUUUUAAAAAUUAUAAUAAGCCUUCUUGGAGAUAAAUUUAUUGAAAAACAGCUUAAAUCUUCAAAACACUAUAAAAUAAAAUACCAUAACAUUGUUAGCAGUUGCUUGUUAAUACAGCAUAAAAGUUGUUUCCCUCACAGAAAUGGGAUAAAUGGUCCCAUGUGUCAUUGUUGCAUCAUUUGUCAUGAAGAACCACCAGACUAUUGCAAAAAGAUCUUCCAGUUUUCCCCAUUGCUAAGUCCACACAGCCGUUGAACUGCCCUUUCCACUCCAAGAAUAAUUCACAUAGUUUGGUGCAGUUUCGUGCUCUGUGUUAUUUCAGAAGGUAAACUGAAAGUGGCUUUCAAAACAACCACCACCUGUAGACCUCAGCUAAAGACAAGGCCAUUUCAACCUUGGAAUGUACUGAGAAUUUCAGCUGACUGGUGACAGCAAUCUCUUAUCAUUUGGGGGUAGGAGGUGGGGUGGGGAGUCUUCUACCAAAAAGGGAGUCCAGCAAUAAGAAAAGUA